GACAGAGGCCUCGAGCGUUAGGCGGAAUCACUGGGCUUAAAGCGUGUGUAGGCGGAUCGUUAAGUGCCUUGUGAAAUCCCACGGCUUAACUGUGGAACGGCUGGGCAUACUGGCGGUCUUGAGCCAUCUAGGGGCGACUGGAACAAACGGUGGAGCGGUGAAAUGCGUAGAUAUCGUUUGGAACGCCAAUGGUGAAAACAGGUCGCUGGGGAUGAGCUGACGCUGAGACACGAAAGCCAGGGGAGCGAACGGG
This 253-nucleotide ribosomal RNA is filed under the name uncultured bacterium. RNAcentral describes it as "partial 16S ribosomal RNA". It matches the Rfam family "Bacterial small subunit ribosomal RNA", at positions 524 to 776 of the family's 1533-position model. The record is from RNAcentral.